Molecule: ribosomal RNA, 429 nt
Filed under: Pseudomonadota bacterium
Lineage: Bacteria; Pseudomonadati; Pseudomonadota
Description: Proteobacteria bacterium partial 16S ribosomal RNA
Rfam family: Bacterial small subunit ribosomal RNA
Source: RNAcentral
UGGGGAAUAUUGGACAAUGGGCGAAAGCCUGAUCCAGCCAUGCCGCGUGUGUGAAGGAGGUCUUCGGAUUGUAAAGCACUUUAAGUUGGGAGGAAGGGCAGUAAGCGAAUACCUUGCUGUUUUGACGUUACCGACAGAAUAAGCACCGGCUAACUCUGUGCCAGCAGCCGCGGUAAUACAGAGGGUGCAAGCGUUAAUCGGAAUUACUGGGCGUAAAGCGCGCGUAGGUGGUUCGUUAAGUUGAAUGUGAAAGCCCCGGGCUCAACCUGGGAAAUGCAUCCAAAACUGGCGAGCUAGAGUAGGGCAGAGGGUGGUGGAAUUUCCUGUGUAGCGGUGAAAUGCGUAGAUAUAGGAAGGAACACCAGUGGCGAAGGCGACCACCUGGGCUCAUACUGACACUGAGGUGCGAAAGCGUGGGGAGCAAACAGG